GGGACACGUGGUAUCCUGUCUGAAUAUGGGGGGACCAUCCUCCAAGGCUAAAUACUCCUGACUGACCGAUAGUGAACCAGUACCGUGAGGGAAAGGCGAAAAGAACCCCGGCGAGGGGAGUGAAAAAGAACCUGAAACCGUGUACGUACAAGCAGUGGGAGCACGCUUAGGCGUGUGACUGCGUACCUUUUGUAUAAUGGGUCAGCGACUUAUAUUCUGUAGCAAGGUUAACCGAAUAGGGGAGCCGAAGGGAAACCGAGUCUUAACUGGGCGUUAAGUUGCAGGGUAUAGACCCGAAACCCGGUGAUCUAGCCAUGGGCAGGUUGAAGGUUGGGUAACACUAACUGGAGGACCGAACCGACUAAUGUUGAAAAAUUAGCGGAUGACUUGUGGCUGGGGGUGAAAGGCCAAUCAAACCGGGAGAUAGCUGGUUCUCCCCGAAAGCUAUUUAGGUAGCGCCUCGUGAAUUCAUCUCCGGGGGUAGAGCACUGUUUCGGCAAGGGGGUCAUCCCGACUUACCAACCCGAUGCAAACUGCGAAUACCGGAGAAUGUUAUCACGGGAGACACACGGCGGGUGCUAACGUCCGUCGUGAAGAGGGAAACAACCCAGACCGCCAGCUAAGGUCCCAAAGUCAUGGUUAAGUGGGAAACGAUGUGGGAAGGCCCAGACAGCCAGGAUGUUGGCUUAGAAGCAGCCAUCAUUUAAAGAAAGCGUAAUAGCUCACUGGUCGAGUCGGCCUGCGCGGAAGAUGUAACGGGGCUAAACCAUGCACCGAAGCUGCGGCAGCGACG
RNAcentral lists this ribosomal RNA (793 nucleotides) under Escherichia coli. Its description in RNAcentral is "partial 23S ribosomal RNA". It matches the Rfam family "Bacterial large subunit ribosomal RNA", at positions 419 to 1213 of the family's 2925-position model. The record is from RNAcentral. Lineage: Bacteria; Pseudomonadati; Pseudomonadota; Gammaproteobacteria; Enterobacterales; Enterobacteriaceae.